GCGGGAUUGGCAGAUGCGGCUAUGCACUCGCCUUUUAAGCGAGACGAAGCAGGUUCGAUUCCUGCAUCCCGCACCA
Molecule: transfer RNA, 76 nt
Filed under: Acidobacteriota bacterium
Lineage: Bacteria; Pseudomonadati; Acidobacteriota
Also listed under: 3 other names
Description: Acidobacteria bacterium tRNA-Lys
Rfam family: tRNA
About the family: Transfer RNA (tRNA) molecules are approximately 80 nucleotides in length. Their secondary structure includes four short double-helical elements and three loops (D, anti-codon, and T loops).
Source: RNAcentral